RNAcentral lists this long non-coding RNA (16293 nucleotides) under Capsicum annuum. RNAcentral's name for it is "long non-coding RNA (CANN_LNC010971)". The record is from RNAcentral. Lineage: Eukaryota; Viridiplantae; Streptophyta; Magnoliopsida; Solanales; Solanaceae.
UCGUUAGGUCUUCUUCAAAUUUGCACUAGUCCUGUCUUAGGUUGACGGCAACUUCUAAUGGCUUAUCAAGACUGUGACGAUUUAUCAGAAAUGUCGUUGAUUCUACCAGCUGGAACUCAUUCCCUGUUUGAGGCUGACGAUGGCCUUGAUAGCCUAUCACUGGUUGACGACCUAUCAUGAAUGCCGUCAGCUGCACUUGUCUUUUAAUUGCUUCAUAUUUCAUCUCUUUUGCUUCCAUCCUUGUUGGUUCUCUAGCAUCUGCUUCUACUGCAAAAUCAAAGAUAAAACAAUAAAAAAUGACAAAAGUUGCUUAAGACUUUGCAAUUAUUCUCAGUUGAAAGCCUCAAAUAUGUUAGCAUCAGCUUACAUAUCAACACCAUCAACUUAAAACAGUUUUUUUUCCUCAAGCAACUCAAACACAACUAAGAGAAUACAAAUUACAUUUGGCAGUCAACCAUCCAUAUUAUCUCAAAACAUCUUCACCAUCUCCAAGGUUAAUCAAUUUACAAACACUGUGUAUUUUAUUGAAGAGCAAUAAUGUGACACACAGGAAUCAAGAUAUGACAUCAAUUCAGCAACAACAACCAUGCAUGUACCAAGAUUACACUAUCCAAAAAAGUUAGCAACUAGCAACGUAACCAGUGUGCCCUCACUACAAAGAAACCUAUUUUUUCUCUCAUAUUAGAAAUCACAUAUAUACACAUAGGGAUAAUCACGAGACUCACUCUCAGAAUGAAGUUCCACUCAAUGUACGUCAAAUGCCAUAGGCUUUCCCUUAUAGUCAGUACCAAGGUUUUCAGACAAGUCAUCUAGGAUCACUAUAGGUCUUUUUCUUGGCUUGUAAUGUAGGCUAGGGGCUAGUAUGAUAUUCAAGGGUAUUUAAAGUGACUACGCCUCCUUGACACUACGCUAACCUCUUGGGGUUUCACUUCUUAACCUUUUUCUCUUCCUCCCUUUUAUUGAUCACACAUACUUAAGGUGGGUGCUAUCUUUUCAAAAACCAAAUUAUCUUUUUCUAAUCUUUUAUAUAGCUUUUUCUUUUCUUAUUCUUUUUGCACCACACCUGGAUUUUUAUUCUUUUCUCUUAUUCUACCUCUCUUCAUACUAAUUUUACAUCAUGCACCCCUAUGAUAGCCACCCUUAACUUAGGCUAUUUGCCUAAGUCAAGGUGCACAGUGUCCAAGGAGGACCAGGGCCAAAAUAGGUUCAUUGUGAAACAAAUGGAAAAGUGAUAGGUGUCAUGAAAAAAAUAGGCUAUUCAGGCUUAAAAUAUGGAUCAAGGGCUAUUAUGUAUACAGGGAAGUCCAUUUAGGCUAAAAAUAGGCUAAUAUCAAAAUGGCCUAUGAUCCUCUCCUAACCCCUAUCCUACAAUCAAGGCAAGACUAACCUGACAAGUUCUGGAUUCACACACAAAGGGAACUGAGUAAGACCUCAAAUACACAUGACACACAAAUAUAUCACAAAUCACUAUUUAUCCUGUUCGUGUAAUUGUUUAGCACUGAUUAUGAAGUUGCCAGAACUAAUGCCACCAAAAGAUUCACUGUGGUCACAAUUAGAUACAGUUCACACAGUAUUACGUAUAGACACUUAGAGAGGCGCUCAAAAAUCACAAAACAUAUUAACUGUCUUAUUACUUGUAUUUCUCCUAGUUAACUACAACACAUCACAAAAUAAAAUACAAUACGCCUAAACUUGCCGGCUCUACUAGGAACAAGACUCUGGGGAAAAGAGGCACGACAACAAAAACCUACAAAGGACAUCAACAUCCACAAGUAGCCCCACCCUCAACUUAAAAUCAUGCAAUAUCUCCAAUGCAUCAAACCAAAAUAAUAGAGUUAGAAACAUACAUGUGGCACCAUGGGUGCGAAGAUCUGAUGUCAAUUGCAUAAUACAAAUACAAACAACAAAAUACCUUGGGUUUCCUCUCAAGAAGCGCCUAAUUUAGUGGUGCGACACUAUAUCAUCCAGUCAUCCUUUAUCCCUCCCCUUAGACGAUUUGAAUUGUUUGCCCAUAUUUCGAUCUUUACUCCUUUUAGGUCCGUUGGGAAAGGGUGAGGGCAUGAUAAGGAAUGUUCUAUCACGCCACCUCGAAGACUUGAAACGCUUGCCCAAUUUUGCAUCAAACUUUCGUGUGGGCUUAUUGGGAAGUAGUGCGGAUCUUAAAAAAUCACUAAAUGGACAUCGAUCUUUAGGGUUCUUGGCUUUUACAAUUGGGGUUGUGGUAUACCCUUUUGGAAAGAUAAACUCCAAAAUGUAAAAAUUUUCCUCCUCAUUUUCAAAAUUCACCAUUUGCUUGGGUGAUUCGACUUUCAUCACAUCCACCAGGGAUAAUGUUGAAAAGUGGUUCGAAUGAGGACUAACUCUUACUUCCAGAGUAGCAUCCCUAUUAGUAUCUUUACCCUGAAAUGAACUAGAGUCUUCACAAGGAUUGUGCUUGAUUUUUUCUUUUGCCUCUAGCACCAUUUCCCUAAUCUUGGUAUCAUCCCUCAUGGUUGGUUCGGGUCGUUAGGAAAUCUCCAAGGGUUGAUCAACAUUAACCUCAUCAUCAAUAUAGGAUUCUUGCUCCUCAUAUUCACACUCUUCGAUUAGUCUAAAUGAUUCCAAAGACAAGAUAUCAUCUAAACAUAAUGUAGAAGAGUGUCUUAGAUGAUUGACCUCGAUAUCCAUCUCCCCUAUCUUUUCUCUUUCCUUGUUAAAUGCCCUAAUGUCUUGACGUAUAUCACAUAUGAUAUCAUUCAUUAUGUCCAUACGAUCCAACAUUAGUUGAAGCAUAGCUUCAAUGCCACUCUUUCAGUGCUUCGUUCUUCCUUUUCUUGACCAAAAGACCUAUCAAAAUCAUAAGAAGAACUAGAAUUUGGGUUAGCACAAUGGGGGGAGGGGGUAUUUGGGGAAUCACUCUAAUCUCAAUCUUGACACUACUAGAAAACUGCUUAUUACCUGAGGAUUUUACCUAGAGAAUAAUAUCGCAGGAAAUACAUGCGGAUUAACCUAUGAAAUUAUUAAAUUCGUCAAUAUUAUAAUAUAUUACCUGUGAACUAUAUAUUUGCAACAAAUUCCACAGGUAAAUUUGGCGCCAUAGUGCGCAAAUUUCUUACUUGUGAUAUUACCUGAGGAAAUAUAUUGGCGGGUAUUUUAUCUCUAGGUAAAUCCGCAAGUAUAUGAACAAAUAUAUACAUUUUUUAAAUCCGUAGAAAAAUCCCCAGGUAAUUUAUCAUACGGAUUUACUUAGAGAUUUUUUGGUGGAAAUUUAUAUAAUGGAUUUUAUUACCUAGGAAAUUAUUUGGGGAUUUUGUUCUGCGAAUUUUGUUGGGGAUUUAUUCUUGGGAAUUUACCUGCGAAAUUAUUACUUGCGACAUUACCUAGGGAAAUAUAUUGGCGGGUAUUUUAUCUCUAGGUAAAUCCGCAGGUAUAUGGAUAAAUAUAUAUAUUUUUUAAAUUUGUAAAAAAAAUCCGCAGGUAAUUUAUCCUACGGAUUUACUUAGAGAUAUUUUGGUGAAAAUUUAUGUAAUGAAUUUUAUUACCUACGAAAUUAUUUGGAGAUUUUGUGUUGCGAAUUUUGUUGGGGAUUUACCUGCGAAAUUAUUACUUGAGACAUUACCUGAGGAAAUAUAUCGGCGGGUAUUUUAUCUCUAGGUAAAUUCGCAGGUAUAUUAACAAAUAUAUAAAAAAUUUAAAUCCAUAGAAAAAUCCCCAGGUAAUUUAUCCUACGACUUAGAGAUAUUUUGGUGGAAAUUUAUGUAAUGGAUUUUAUUACCUAGAAAAUUAUUUGGGGAUUUUGUGCUGCGAAUUUUGCUGGGGAUUUAUUCUUGGGGAUCUACCUUCAAAAUUAUUACUUGCGACUUUAGCUGGGGAAAUAUAUCGGCGGGUAUUUUAUCUCUAGGUAAAUCUGCAGGUAUAUGUACAAAUAUAUAAAUUUUUUAAAUCCAUAGAAAAAUUCCCAGGUAAUUUAUCCUACGGAUUUACUUAGAGAUAUUUUGGUGAAAAUUUAUGUAAUGGGUUUUAUUACUUACAAAAUUAUUUGGGGAUUUUGUGCUGCGAAUGUUGUUGGGAAUUUAUUCUUGGGGAUUUACCUGCGACAUUUUUACUUGAGACAUUACCUGAAAAAUAUAUCGGCGGGUAUUUUAUCUUUAGGUAUAUAUAUAUAUAUAUAUUAAAUCCAUAGAAGGUAUAAUAAUCACGAAAUAAAAUAAAAAAGUAAUUUAUUUUACAUUGAGUUGAAAGUAUUAGGUAGUUUCAGAAUUAUAUAUAUGAUGAGAUUAAGGGUGGACAUUCUGUUUGUUUGAUUUGUUUGUUUAAUAUCGAUAUAUUUUUUUGAUUUUCGGAUUGACGAAAAUGACAGCUGUAAUCAAACCAAAAUAAAUUCGAUUUGAUUUGAUUUUCAUAAAUUCGGUUUAGUUAUUUUAAAUUUUUAUUUCAAUUUUGUAGAUUAAAAUCUUUCUUUUUCAUGACUGAACAUUUAAAAUUUGUGAUUUUUUUUUUAGAAAAAAAUAAUUUUUUUAAAACCUAUUUUUCAUUUUUAAAUAUAAAUAACUCAUCAUGGGUGAAAUGAAAUAACGGGAAAAUAGUAUUUAUACUAAUUAUAGAUAAUAUAUAUACACAUAUAUAUAAAUAAAAUUUAUAUAUAAUAAAAUAUAUAUAUUAUUAUUAUUAUCGUUGAUUUUAUAAUUACACAAUUUAUUUAUAACUAAUCUGAGCAUAAUUAUAUUCUACUAUAUAUAUAUAUAUAGAGAGAUACUUUUAGUCACACAAUUUAUUCAUAACUAAUCUGAGCAUAAUUAUAUUAUUUAUUUUACUAUUAUUAUUAUUGUAUUAAUCCACAAUCUUAGUCAAUGUAAUUUUCAAUAUAUUUAUUUUCAUGUUUGAUUUUGUCAAUUUGUAACAAUUUUAGCCUAAUUUUAUCCAAUUUAUUACAAUCCUAGCCAAAUUGUGUUCAAUUGAACUCAAUUUCAAAUUUCAUUCAAUUUUGUAACCAAAUUCUUAAUCUUAAGAUCUCAGUCGUUGAUCAAUAUUUAUUUAUUAUUAUAUAUUUAUUUUUAAUGUUAAUUUUAAAUUGUUACUACAUUUAUUAAAUAUCAACCUAAUUCAAUUCUAUUUUCCUAAUUUAUUAAAAUCUAGCCAUUUAUACUCAAUUUGUGUCAAUUGAGUUUAAUUUGACUCAAUCAAAAUCCUCAAUUUAAUUUUUUUAAACCAAUAUCUAAUCCCAAUUUGACGCAUCUCGUCAAGUCUAAUCUCAAUCGCUUAUCAUAUUUGAUCAACGGUCCAUAUUAAAUCAAUUUUCACUAAUAUUUUUCUUGAAAUUGGACAGCUUCAAACUAUUUUUCUUGAACCAAGGGUAUAUUGAAAACAACCUAUCUACCUUAGCAGUAAGGUCUGUGUCCCUAUACUCUCUACGGACCCCAAUUUGUGGGAAUAAAUCGGGUUAUUUAUGUUGACACCCAAUUUUGACCUUAGGCUGCUAUUUUAGCAAAAAUAUUAAUUUUAAAUGUUGAUAUUUUCUAUGCAUUAUUUUGAUUUCAAAUAAAUAUUAACAUGUCACAUUCAUGAUUAAAAAAUAUACGAUAUUUUUUUAUAUUAUUAUUUUUUACAUUAUAUAAUAUUUUACAUAAUUUUGCUAAUAUUUAUUAAAUCAUUUCCGUAAUUAUACAUGCCCAUAAUUUACAAACAUUGUCUAUUAUUAUUAUUAUUAUUAUUAUUAUUACGUCUUUCCUACAUUUAUUAAAUAGCAACCUAAGUCAAUUCAAUUUGCCCAACUUAUGUAAUGUCUAGCCUAAUUCUUAUUCAAUUAAUAUCAAUUUUACUCAAAAUUGAUAUUAAUUCAAGCUGAAUAAACUUUAGCUUGACUCAAUUUUAAAAAUACUUGUGAAGCUCACACGAGCUGAUCAAGCAGUUAAAUAUGAUAUCAAAGAUGUAUUUGAGCUGAUCAGCAAUCUUAGCGUGGCUUGUUAUUGAGAUCAAGAAAUUAAUGGUCAUCAAUUUUUCUGACCCCUUUUUAAAUAACUUUAAUCUCAGCCAUUAAUAAAAAUCAAUCCAACGGCUGAGAUCAAAUUUUUCACUCCUCUCCUUUUAAACAAAACAAGAAACCCUACUCUCAUUUUCAGUAAAAACAUCUGCCUCUCUCCCUAUCUUCUCUCUCUUUUCUUUCUCUACACUUCCUCUCUCUAAAACCAAAACAAUUGAUGCCGCCUCCUAGGGGUGUACAUAGGUCGGGUCGAUUUGAUUUUUAUUAAAAAAAAAACCAAACCAAUCAUGUCGGUUUAUUAAAAUUAUAAACCAAAUCAAACCAACAUAAAAUUGGUUUUUUCGAUUAAGGUUUUAGGCGAUUUUUUUGGAUUUUUUAUUUUUUUCGUUUUUUUUAAUUUUUUUAUAAUCUUUAGUUUUUACAAUUAUAUUGUGAUCGAAGACUAGAUCAAAUAUUUUUCACUCAUGUGUUAAUGAAAAAUCAUAAUUAUGAAAAAAUGAGGAGCGAAAAACUCUCUUGAAACUAAAAAGUGAGAUGGAGAGUGAAAAGUUUAGGUUUUAAGUUUAUAUUGGGUUUUCGAUCAUUUAAUUAGUAAUUAAUGGAUAAAUAUUACAACUUAAAGGCACAAAUCUAAAUAUAUAUCUACAUCUACUUUCAAAUUAUUGAAAAUUAGUAAAACUAGUUGAAAAAGUUUUUAAAAAGUAGAUUAUAGUUAAUAUUUUACGUAUAAAAAAGUUUGACUAUUAUAUAUAUAUAUAUAUAUUAUGUCGGUUUGAUUUUGGUUCGGUUUGCCUUUUUGUUGGUUAACACCAAACCAAAUCAAGAAUGGUGGUUUUUUUUCUAACGCCAAACCAAUCAAACCAAAUCAUAAGUCGAUUUUUUUUUAUCAGUUUGGUUUAGUUCGGCGGUUUGGUUUGACUUGGCGGUUUGGUCUGUACACCCCUACCGCCUCCACCGUCUUCAUCGUCGACCACCUUUAAGUCGUUUUCUCCUCCCGUCACUAUUACCCUGUCUACCACCGGCAAAUUCAUUUGCCCUGAUCGUAACAGUGACUUUGUCGAAGAAUUAGAAGACCCCAACUCGAUCCCCAAUCUGACCCGCUUGCCCGAACCGGUUGCCUCUAUGUUGAGUAAUAUUUUUAUUGCACAACUCGUGUCUUGUUUGUUGGUUUGAGUUGCCAACCGAUGACCCUGAGUACGAGAAUAGGGAAAGGGAGAAUUAUGAGAACACGAGUGGUGGUAGGUCGGGUUGUGGAAGGAGGUUUGCUACUGUGUCGCUACCGUGGCUAUUUGGGAUGUUUGGAUCAGCUUCAUCCUCUAGCCAGGGAGGAGGAUCAGGGUCUCGUGGACAAUAGGACAGGGAGUCGAAUUAGGUAUGUAUAUACAUAACUUUGAUCUUCUUGAAUAUGUUGUGUUUGUUUAGUUCAUUUGAGUUAAAUUUAUAUACUUCAAAUUGCUGAUCAAAACGGACUAGGAUAGAAGGUUAAUAGGUAGUCAUGUGUUGUUUUGCUGUCUAUUCAUAUUAGUAGUCCUAGUAUACUUGAAUUGCUGAUCAAAAUGGACUAGGAUAGAAGGUUAAUAGGUAGUCCUGUGUUGUUUUGUUGUCCAUUCAUAUUAGUAGUCCUAGUAUUGCUCCUUUUGUUUCUUGUCCUUCAAUUUCUAUUACUAUACGUUGUUUCUUGUACUCUGAUUAUUGUAUUAUUUUGUUGAAGUAGGGCAUUGUUGUUAUUUGCUGACUAGAACAGAAGUUUAUCAACUCGACUUUAGGUGUUGAUAUAAUUCUCAAAGAGCUAUUUUUUAGGUGUUGAUAUAAUUUCUGAAGGGCUGGUUUUUAUAUGUUGAUAUAAUUCCCAAAGGACUGGUUUUUAGGUGUUGAUAUAAUUCCCAAGGAUUGGUUUUUAGGUGUUGAUAUAAUUCUAAGUUGUUGUGUGAAUCAAAAAUAUGUAAAGUACUAUGUUUGUAAAAAGCAGUUCACUACUCUCACAUUAUCAGAUAUGGCUUUACUAGACUAGAGUUUGGCAUAUUUGAGCUGGAAUGGUGUUGUAAAGCUUCUGAAUGUUUCACAAAUUGUUGAUAAAAAUCCUUGACUUCGUAUAUGGAGUUUCCAGAGUUCAUUUGAUUAGGACAUAUUUAUGCUAGUGGCCAUUCUCCAUCAGGUAUAUCACUAAUUUCUUCCUGGUGAAUUUUUUAAGUGCCAUUUUUUCUCCUUUGUCUCUUGCAGUAAGAAUAUGAAUUCUUGGUAUUUUAAAAUUAUGAUAAGUUUUGUAUCUAAAGUAGACUCACUCAUCAUUUAUUAAAGAAAAAACAGUUGUGAAAAUUUCAAGCAUUUAGUUGAUAUAAUAUGGAUACCUUAACUUAAUCUGUUUGACAUCAGUACUAGCGAUGGUAAGUUUGUGGUUUUUUAGGCAUGAAUAUUUGCUUUUAGAACAAAUAUCCCUCUCUCCCAUUAAUAGGCUCUCAAACCCCAGGAACAGGGUGAUGUGGAUGCCUUUACUUGAUAUGUUUCAAGCCAAUUUAAUUAUCAAAUAUCUUCUUGGUUCUACACAUCUUAAUCUAUUGGAGAGCUGAUUAAGAAGAAAAAUAGCUUCUGUUAUCUUUUAAUGGUAUUCCAUAUUCUCUUUUAGGCAACCAAUAAGAAGUUUGCAAUUGUCCAGCAAGGGCAUAAACCUACUAUUGGAUUGCUCUAUUAAGAGAAUAAAAUCUAUAUUAAGUCAGUUGUAUGUUCUUCAAAUGUUGCACCCGAGUCCCUCGAUCCUUUUCACAGGACUAGUACUUCUCUAAACUAAGGAGUACGGCAUAAACUUCGUGAAAUUAUCCCGAGUCAACUGUGAAACAAUUGUCCUCCAAACAGCUCCAUAACCCUAUUUUUCAUUUUAUACAGUUUAUAAAGUCUCUAAGCCUCGCAAAUGCGAUUUUUAAGUCUAUAGAAUAAUUGCUUGUUUGAAAGAAAUAUGAAGCAAAUUUGGGAAAUUAGUUGUCAAGAAAAACUCCGUUAAGCCAAAAUAGUGCUGGAUCUAUAUGGUGUUGUGAUACCUUAGGGAAAUUCCACACCGGAAGGUAGAGAAGAGUGAAGUGUUAUAUAAGAAAGAGCACAAGUUCAUACGGUUAUUUUGGACAAAAUGGACAAUACGUACCAUGUGCUUGGGCUAUAACAAGUAUGACUUAGAGUGAAAUCCUUGCAGUACGAAGGAGGGGCAAAUAUCGGCAAGGAUGUUGAGUCCCUAAGGAGGGGUGUAUGACUCUUAGGAUGGAAGUUGGGGUGAUGAGGGUUGGUAAAAAAGAGGAACGGAUAGGCUUCUUAGCUAGCACUUAUUAGAAGAAGGGAGAAGGGAUGCACAUAACACUUUAAGACAAAUCCACAUUAAAAAUGGAGUGAAGAAUGAACUACUAGAUCACAAGUUCUUUUGGUACACGUACUCUUGGACUCGAUGAUGGCAACCAAAGGAACAAAUCCAUGAGAUUCGUUAAGCCAAGACGGAUAGUACGUGUCAUGGGCUUGGCCCUUGGGUUGUGACCAGCUUCAAGGCAAGUAAUAGUUUCUCUUUUCUUAUGGCUAAAUUCCUAAUACACUUGUGUGCAAAUAGAGUUCAGCGAAUAUAGCUCGAGGAUAAAGUGAAACAAAAAACAUGACUAUGUAUACACAAUGCAUAGAACAAAAUUCCUGAGCAUGUACUAGGAAAAUCAAAGUAUCUUACCUACUGAAGGAACCCAAUAAUCUUUCUAAGUGUGCUGAUCAAAAUAUUUAAGAAAAGAAGAAGAGAUAGAUUGUUGUAUACUGACUGGCUUGUAUUUCUUAGUGUUGUCAUCAUUCGUCUCUAUGGAGCACAUAAUUCAUUUCUUCCAGUAAUAAUUCUAGUUAAACAUAUUCAUUAUAAAGGUAUCAAUCAUCUUCCAUAAGAUAGGGAAACAAAUUUUCGAUCGAUCAACUAUUCUUCACCAAAGUCUUACUUAAUAUAAAGUACGCUCAUUGUAGUACAGAAUACUGGAAACUUGAAUUUAUUUGGAUGAAACAACUGCAGAACUUAUCAAGAAUCAGGUAAUCCAUCAAAGCUUCCACUGGGAUCAUCAGUGAGAAACAUAUAUAAAUCAUGCUUAUAGGUACUUGGAUCUUGUAUCACUAAGCCCCUAAUGUGUAAACCUGGUUCUUUUUCAAGGUCAAGUGCGUGGAGAUUUUAUUUUUGAUAAUGGAUAGAGGUGAGACUUGAUACCAUGUUGAAGUUUAUGACCAACACACCUAAAAGCUUAAGCUUUUGGAAAGAGCUCACCUUUAUAUACUUAAUUAUAUCUUUAACAAGUAAAUUUACAGAAACAUACUUCCUUGAACAACAAUAAUUUAUCCAAAGUUCUUGUCCUCAUUUUAUUUUUAUUCAAUUCACUACUUAAUUAGUGAGUCUUGUGGCCGGGGUCUAGUCUUGAACCGGGGGUCUAUCGAAAAUAGCCUCUAUACUUCUUCGGGGGUAGUGGUAUGGAUUGCGUACAUUUUACCCUCCCCAGACCCCACUAUAUAGGAAUAUACUAGGUUUGUUGUUGUUGUUGUUGUUAACCCAUAAACCUAAAAUAACGUGUAGUAGUUCACGAUAGUUUACUGAUAGCAAGACGACUUAUAGGACUUCCCAUCUAUCUAUAUUUCAAAUUAUGCACGGUAGAAAUUCAGUUGUGCUAAUGUCAUUGCAAGCUUAACCUGCUUACGUUCAACAAAAAACACAUCUUAUACUUUCUCACCACUAUCUUUGCUGUACCAACUUUCUUCUGAAAGUAUCUGUUGUUCCUUUCUGGCAAGAUUUGGUAUAUGCACUAUGCUAAUAAUAUAUUUCUACUAUGCUAAUACUAUAUUUCUUACCACUUUUUAUGGUCUGACUUAACAUAUCCUUAUGCAGAAUGAGUUUGAAAGAAAGAAAUAAUAAAUAUUAGUUGCUCAAAGUGCAUCAGCUGUAGAUGGAGAAACUAAUUCAGCUAGUCAGCCAGCUCAGUUAAGUGAAAUGGAUAUCUGGGUGCAAUCUGUUGGUGGAAAGAAAAAUGGAAGAGUCAAAGGUCUUGGCUCCCUGGGUCGAAGUGUAGAGGCAACUAAUAGUUCAACAUCAACUUUACCUAAAGAAAUUAAUGAGAUGAUUAAGUCUUUAAAUAUUUUGUUUUGGACCAUUUAAUGUAAUGGAUGUUUUGAAUUAUGCUUUUUAGAUGUAAUGGUUUACAUUAAACUUGUUUUGAAUGAUGUUUUUGAGAAUUAUUGAAGGUUUUAAAUAUAUUUUUGAUUAAUUGUGAAAUGUUUCUAGUAAUUUAUGUGUAAAUUAUUUUUGUGAAAAUUCGUAAGUAAAAUUCUUUUUUAAUGAAAUUUUAUCAAAUAAUUCAUUUACAAUUUUGCUAAUUAAUCGCAAAUAAAUUCACAAAUAAAAUCUAUAUUAAGUCAGUUGUAUGUUCUUCCAAUGUUGCACCAAAGUCCCUCGGUUCUUUUAACACGACUAGUACUUCGUGAAAUUAUCCUGAGUCAACUGUGAAACAAUUGUCCUCCAAACAGCUCCGUAACCCCAUUUUGAUCCUCCACGAUACCAUAUACAUGUGGUAAAAUAGUGAAAGAAAGUUUAUGUCGUACUCCUUAGUUUAGAGCACUAUUCUAUUAGUAUAGAAAGUCUUUUGGAUCAGUCUAACCAAGAGUUUUUCAUUUUAUACAGUUUAUAAAGUCUCUAAGCCUCGCAAAUGCGAUUUUUAAGUCUGUAGAAGAAUUGCUUGUUUGAAAGAAAUAUGAAGCAAAUUUGGGAAAUUAGUUGUCAAGAAAAACUCCGUUAAGCCAAAAUAGUGCUGGAUCUAUAUGGUGUUGUGAUACCUUAGGGAAAUUCCACACCGGAAGGUAGAGAAGAGUGAAGUGUUAUAUAAGAAAGAGCACAAGUUCAUACGGUUAUUUUGGACAAAAUGGACAAUACGUACCAUGUGCUUGGGCUAUAACAAGUAUGACUUAGAGUGAAAUCCUUGCAGUACGAAGGAGGGGCAAAUAUCGGCAAGGAUGUUGAGUCCCUAAGGAGGGGUGUAUGACUCUUAGGAUGGAAGUUGGGGUGAUGAGGGUUGGUAAAAAAGAGGAACGGAUAGGCUUCUUAGCUAGCACUUAUUAGAAGAAGGGAGAAGGGAUGCACAUAACACUUUAAGACAAAUCCACAUUAAAAAUGGAGUGAAGAAUGAACUACUAGAUCACAAGUUCUUUUGGUACACGUACUCUUGGACUCGAUGAUGGCAACCAAAGGAACAAAUCCAUGAGAUUCGUUAAGCCAAGACGGAUAGUACGUGUCAUGGGCUUGGCCCUUGGGUUGUGACCAGCUUCAAGGCAAGUAAUAGUUUCUCUUUUCUUAUGGCUAAAUUCCUAAUACACUUGUGUGCAAAUAGAGUUCAGCGAAUAUAGCUCGAGGAUAAAGUGAAACAAAAAACAUGACUAUGUAUACGCAAUGCAUAGAACAAAAUUCCUGAGCAUGUACUAGGAAGAUCAGAGUAUCUUACCUACUGAAGGAACCCAAUAAUCUUUCUAAGUGUGCUGAUCAAAAUAUUUAAGAAAAGAAGAAGAGAUAGAUUGUUGUAUACUGACUGGCUUGUAUUUCUUAGUGUUGUCAUCAUUCGUCUCUAUGGAGCACAUAAUUCAUUUCUUCCAGUAAUAAUUCUAGUUAAACAUAUCCAUUAUAAAGGUAUCAAUCAUCUUCCAUAAGAUAGGGAAACAAAUUUUCAAUCGAUCAACUAUGCUUCACCAAAGUCUUACUUAAUAUAAAGUACGCUCAUUGUAGUACAGAAUACUGGAAACUUGAAUUUAUUUGGAUGAAACAACUGCAGAACUUAUCAAGAAUCAAGUAAUCCAUCAAAGCUUCCACUGGGAUCAUCAGUGAGAAACAUAUAUAAAUCAUGCUUAUAGGUACUUGGAUCUUGUAUCACUAAGCCCCUAAUGUGUAAACCUGGUUCUUUUUCAAGGUCAAGUGCGUGGAGAUUUUAUUUUUGAUAAUGGAUAGAGGUGAGACUUGAUACCAUGUUGAAGUUUAUGACCAACACACCUAAAAGCUUAAGCUUUUGGAAAGAGCUCACCUUUAUAUACUUAAUUAUAUCUUUAACAAGUAAAUUUACAGAAACAUACUUCCUUGAACAACAAUAAUUUAUCCAAAGUUCUUGUCCUCAUUUUAUUUUUAUUCAAUUCACUACUUAAUUAGUGAGUCUUGAGGCCGGGGGUCUAUCGAAAAUAGCCUCUGUACUUCUUCGGGGGUAGUGGUAUGGAUUGCGUACAUUUUACCCUCCCCAGACCCCACUAUAUGGGAAUAUACUAGGUUUGUUGUUGUUGUUGUUGUCAACCCAUAAACCUAAAAUAACGUGUAGUAGUUCACGAUAGUUUACUGAUAGCAAGACGACUUAUAGGACUUCCCAUCUAUCUAUAUUUCAAAUUAUACACGGUAGAAAUUCAGUUGUGCUAAUGUCAUUGCAAGCUUAACCUGCUUACGUUCAACAAAAAACACAUCUUAUACUUUCUCACCACUAUCUUUGCUGUACCAACUUUCUUCUGAAAGUAUCUGUUGUUCCUUUCUGGCAAGAUUUGGUAUAUGCACUAUGCUAAUAAUAUAUUUCUACUAUGCUAAUACUAUAUUUCUUACCACUUUUUAUGGUCUGACUUAACAUAUCCUUAUGCAGAAUGAGUUUGAAAGAAAGAAAUAAUAAAUAUUAGUUGCUCAAAGUGCAUCAGCUGUGGAUGGAGAAACUAAUUCAUCUAGUCAGCCAGCUUAGUUAAGUGAAAUGGAUAUCUGGGUGCAAUCUGUUGGUGGAAAGAAAAAUGGAAGAGUCAAAGAUCUUGGCUCCCUGGGUCGAAGUGUAGAGGCAACUAAUAGUUCAACAUCAACUUUACCUAAAGAAAUUGAUGAGAUGAUUAAGUCUUUAAAUAUUUUGUUUUGGACCAUUUAAUGUAAUGGAUGUUUUGAAUUAUGUUUUUUAGCUGUAAUAGUUUACAUUAAACUUGUUUUGAAUGAUGUUUUUGAGAAUUAUUGAAGGUUUUAAAUAUAUUUUUGAUUAAUUGUGAAAUGUUUCUAGUAAUUUAUGUGUAAAUUAUUUUCGUGAAAAUUCGUAAGUAAAAUUCCUUUUUAAUGAAAUUUUAUCAAAUAAUUCAUUUACAAUUUUGCUAAUUAAUCGUAAAUAAAUUCACAAAUAAUGUACCUGUGGAUUUAUUUCCGUAGCUAAAUUAUUUAGGGAUCUACUUGACAAUUUUUGUGGGAAAUAAUUUGUGAUUUUUGCAUGAAAAUCCGCAGGUAAAAUUCCUUUUUUAUGAAAUUUUACCAAAUAAUUCAUGCAAAUUUUUGAUUGUUAAUCUCAAAUAAAUCCGCAAAUAACGUACCUGCGGAUUUAUUUCUGCAACUAAAUUUCCUAGGGAUUUACUUAGGAAUCUUCAUGGGGAAUAAUUUGUGAUUUUUUUCGUGAAAAUCCGCAGGUAAAAUCCUUUUUUAUGAAAUUUUACCAAAUAAUUUAUGCAAAAUUUUGAUAGUUAAUCACAAAUAAAUCCGCAAAUAACUUACCUGCGGAUUUAUUUUUGCAGCUAAAUUACUUAGGGAUUUUAUAAUCCGCAGGUAAUAAUUAUCUAUGAAGGUAUUUCCUUUGGAUUCAAAUUGGCAAGAAAAUCCACAGGUAAUCAAAUUACCUGCGGAUUUUACCACAUUAUCCUUGUGAAAAUCCCCAGGUAAUAAGCAGUGUUCUUGUAGUUUGACCACCACAUAUAGAACAAUCAUACUCCCGAUAGGAUGGAGAUGGUGCACACAUCUCUCUUUGGGGAGCAUAUCUACAAUCUUGCCAAAAUUGAGGUCCAUCACAAUAUGGACAUGGAUCAUCAAGAUAAGAUUUCCAACCACCAAGAUCAUGUUCAUUCCAUGAUGCCAUCGUAAUAAGUAAACUAAAAUAAAAAUCUACCUAACACAAGAAAUAAAAGAAAAUAAAAAACAAAUAUUUACAAGUUUGAAUUCAAAUAAGUAGGCUAAAAUUUCAAGCCAACUCAAUACGCCAAAUUGUUCCCCGGCAGUGGCACCAUUUUUGAUAACGCUCAACUUACACGUCAAUUUAGUGCAAGGCGGUCAUCGUUAAUAUAUUUAUCCAACUUUGAAGUCGGGGUCGAAUCCGCAGAAAACAAUGUGAGUGACGAUUAAACUAGUUUGAAACUAAAGCUACAAGUUAAAUUCAAACAACUGGCAUGAAAAGAUAAAAUAGGGGUUUUGAGUUUAACAAGUAAUUGUUGGUUGCUUUGAUCAGUGUUUGUAAAUCAAGAGUUAAUGAAAUAACCAGAAUUAUGUUCACUAGGGCUUCCGGUACAUGACAGAUGCUAAAAGUGGUUCAAGAUUCUCAUGGUGGGUAGGAUGACAAGCUAUCUUUAUCAAUGUUAUGCUUAAAUAUCUUUCGACCUACUAAAACAUUUAAUUCCUUAAUCCUCUCGGACUUAGGAAAUUUCUAUUUACUGUCCAAAUUUUACCUUAGGUUAACCAACCUUGUUACAACGCUGAUUAUUAAACGAAGUAUUUUUGAGUCCCUGUUGAUAAUUUACUUCCUAGUAUAUUUGAUUUCUUUCUCAAGCAAAUCAAAACAGGUGUGUCUACUGUUUGCAACCAACAGACGUUAAUUAAAAUUUUAGAAUUAUUAAGAAAUCCUACCACCUGUUGAAUCUUGAAUACUUAACACCUCAUCAAGACCGAACCCUAGAUCCCAUAACUCAGGUUAAUGGAGUUUAGUCACUCAUGAUGUAACGAACGAAACACAUAAUUGAAUUCAUGAUUUGAAAGAUAAACUUACAUAGAUGAAUAAUAACUAGUGAAUCGCAAAUUAGAUCACAAAGGAAAAAUCUCAAAAUACUGAUAAUAAUCUCUCAAAAAUAUUUGCUUUUUCAAGCCAAGAAAUUAGAGAGAAAAUAUCAAAAGUAUUGUCAAAACUCAAUGUGCGGAUAUCUCUAGAAAAUCCUAAAACAAAGCUUUAAAUAGUUCACCCUAAAUAAGGAAAUAAAAUCAAGGUUACAAAUUUUUCUCAGAAUAGACGACGACUAUUGGUAAAGCCUUAUCAGGAUCUUGACGACUUAUCAAGAAUGUCGUCAGGUCUUCUUCAAAUUUGCACUAGUCCUAUCUUAGGUUGACGGCAAAUUCUGACGGCUUAUCAGGACUGUGACGACUUAUCAGAAAUGUCGUCGAUUCUACCAGCUGGAACUCAUUCCCCGUUUGAGGCUGACGAUGGCCGUGAUAGCCUAUCACUGGGCUGAUGACCUAUCAUGAAUGUCGACAACUGCACUUGUCUUUUAAUUACUUCAGAUUUAAGCUCUUUUUCUUCCAUCCUUGUUGGUUCUCUAGCAUCUUAGCUUAUACU